RNAcentral lists this ribosomal RNA (253 nucleotides) under uncultured bacterium. RNAcentral's name for it is "partial 16S ribosomal RNA". It matches the Rfam family "Bacterial small subunit ribosomal RNA", at positions 524 to 776 of the family's 1533-position model. The record is from RNAcentral.
UACGGGGGGGGCAAGCGUUGUUCGGAAUUACUGGGCGUAAAGGGCGCGUAGGCGGCCUGGCAAGUCGGGGGUGAAAGCCUGUGGCUCAACCACAGAAUGGCCUUCGAUACUGCCGGGCUUGAGACCGGAAGAGGUCAGUGGAACUGCGAGUGUAGAGGUGAAAUUCGUAGAUAUUCGCAAGAACACCAGUGGCGAAGGCGGCUGACUGGUCCGGUUCUGACGCUGAGGCGCGAAAGCGUGGGGAGCAAACAGG